GAUGGGAUGGGCGGUUUCUGCCGCCUCUACCACCACCUCUGCUACCUCAGAGCCUGCCGCCGCUGCCGUCGCCGCCGCCACCCCUUCCUCCUCCCCCGCCGCCGCCUCCUCCUUCUCCGGCCCCUCGGCCACCUCUACACGACCCAGGCCCUCUGUCCUUGAGAGGAAUCCGUAUUCAGUCUCCUUCGCGGGCCCGGGGCGCAGCCAUGGCGGACGGCGGGGGCGGGGGGGGCACCGGCGCGGUGGGCGGCGGCGGCGCCGGCCAGGCCUCGGCGGGGGCGACGACAGGCGCGACGGGGGCCGGUGGGAGCGGCGGCCCCAUCAACCCGGCCUCACUGCCUCCCGGUGACCCGCAGCUCAUCGCGCUCAUCGUGGAGCAGCUCAAGAGCCGGGGGCUGUUUGACAGCUUCCGCCGGGACUGCCUGGCCGACGUGGACACCAAGUGCAUCCAAAAUAUAAACAAACAGAACAAACUGAUAGGUGAAGAAGAGACGGAGAUAGUGAUACCAGCUUACCAAAACCUGAGGCAGAAAGUGGAUAAUUUUGUGUCAACACAUCUGGACAAGCAGGAGUGGAAUCCUACGAUGAACAAAAACCAAUUGCGAAAUGGUCUGAGACAGAGUGUGGUUCAGCUCCUGACAAGAUCCUGUUUUCUCCAAACACUUUUAAAAUCUCCAAGAAAGGGAGCUACACUCUUGGUCAGGGAUGUUGGAAGCUGGAGUGGACAGAAUUAUUUCCCAGGUGGUGGAUCCCAAACUAAACCACAUCUUCAGGCCACAGAUAGAACGAGCAAUUCACGAGUUCCUGGCGGCCCAGAAAAAAGAAGCUGUGCCAGCACCCCCUCCAGAGCCUGAAAGCCAGGACCCUCCAGCUCCAUCCCAGGAUGCUUCCUAAGAAUAUGCCUGACACGUUUUGGAAGCUCCAUUGAAUUAAUGGUGAAGAACUGGAUUCAGUUACAUAAGAGUACAACUUCAGAGUGAAGACAGGCCAAGGUCGUCACUGACUUCACAAUUCAACAUUGACUGUGGGGCGGUGUCCAGAUAAAGUAGAGAGCAAGUGGGCCAGUAGGAGAAUUGACCAUGUGGGCCCCACCUCGUGCUGCCGUCUGGCCAGCCUGUCCAAGGGGUGACACCCAGUAGACACUACAGAUACAUUAAGAAACACUACAUCAACUUGGGGUUGUCCUGAAACAAACCUUUGUACUUGAACUUAGAGACUGUGUAUGAAUUUUAGGGUUUGUGCUUGGGGAUAAGCAACAGCUACAAUGAAGGAACAUAACCAGUCCCAAAGAUGCAAUUUCAAGGAAUGACAGUAAAGGUUAGCCAGGAGUAGGUAUUUGACAAUGCUUAUUUGAUACUGUUUCUCAGAGUUUCAAAUAAGAGUGUACAGGCCAUUAGCAUCAAAUAGCUUUAAGGUUGUUGUGACCCUCUUGUCCAUGACUCUUUAGCUUCCGUUUCCUUUCCCCUGUAAGAGGUGUCAAAACAUGGGACCCUAGAAUGCAUGAGGAAAUGUAGACUUAGGUAUAAGGAAAAAUAUUUGCAGGCUCUCUGUCCAGGGCUUCUUCCUAUCCUGCAAGGGCUAGUGAGUCUUCGGUGUGUUUAUUUUAUUCUCAUGUUUGUGUUUUUUAGAAGGUGAAUAAUUAAUAAGUGGCUUAAGUUUUGUAAUUAAAUCAUUUGAUACUCUGAAGCUUCGACUAAUUCUUAGACCCCAGGUGCGCAGUGUAACCUUUUUCCUCGGCCUGCAUGCCAUUCCUGUGCACAACAGGACUUAAUGGCAGUGAAGGACUGGUAGACAUGCCUUGGAAGUACCGUCGUCCUGCAGCUAGUGGGUGUAGCUGGAAGUGAGCAAGACGUUCCUCUCUUCCCCAGACUGUUCCUGAUGCCAGUCUUUAGUUGAGCGUAGUGUGUUCUAUCAGUGUUUCCCAAACUUGUUUGUGGAAGUGUCACCUGGGGAUUUUAAGAAAAAAAUGCAUAAUCUGAUUCAGAAGUCCUGGGAGGACCUGAGAGCGUUUCUGACAGGUUCCAGGUGAUGACUCGGCAUUUUGCAUCCCAAGCCUUGGAUGAUACCAAAAAUUACUUCAACUAAGUGUCUUUCGUUUUUAGUUGAGUCUACUCCUGGAUAUUGUUACUCAAACUUUAACCUGUUUAGACUUGCACCUUUACCAUCAAUACCUGUAAGUUAGGACUGCACUUCCAUAUUUAGCAAGAUGUUCGGGCAACAUGUGCCCUGAGUUUAAAAGCAAGCUGACCACAUGUUUAGGGCAGGCGGCAGUUACUUCUAAAGUGUGUUCUGCUUCCAGCUGAAACAGGUUGGUGUCCUUUUCAGUUUGGGAUUCAACUACCAAGUCCUCAGUACCCGGAGAAGGGCCCCUCUAGUCCUCUUCACUCCGCUAAUAGGUAAACAUGGAAUGACCAGUCUUACCAGUCCUAUGCUCUGCAAGGAAGCUUCUCAGACUAGUAUCCCCUCUUCAAGACCAUGAGCCUCCUUCCCUGGGAGGCCUCUGCCACCGGAGGGAGGCCUCAGCAGAGCCCCUUUCUGUCAACCCAGCCAAAAUCCUGCCCAUCCAACACUGACCUCAACCCAGUGACAGGGCAGAAUAGAGCAACCCAGGGAAGGUGGCCUUCUGCCCACAAAUGCCCAAGUGACUGUUGUGUAUGCUUUUUGGCAGACAGUUUUUCGUCCAUCUCAGUUCUCUUUUUUUCCAUUACUAGAGAAGAGUGUACCAGUUGAUGAGAAACACCAUAAUUUUCACAGAAUGUUAAAUAGGCCAAGAUACCAAGGAGUUUUGUUCUUUUUUUUAAAUCGGUGUUAUAUCCACUAAGUCACUGUAGACUAGAGGUAAUUUUUUCAAAUGAAAUCAUCAGAUGACAGGAGUAACUAAACUCAUCACUACUUUUGGGACAGAGGGUUGACUUUGACUCUUAGCUGAGCCAAGGUGAAAUGGAAGUAGUGCCCAUAUGCCCUUGAGUAAAUGUGGUUAGAUCGGCAGGCCGGGAAAAGGAGACCAGACAAACAGCACCAGAGGGGCUGGGGAGCCCCGAGCCACCUCUGCGCUCUCAAUAAUGGGUCACCCGCGAAGCCUAUUUGCAUUCUCAGUGGAGUCCUCAUGCUUGUGUAUUAGGUUAGGUGUGCAGAGCCUAGAAAAUCCGUGUGUUCUGAGAUAAAGUAGAAGAAUUCCUCCCUGAGGAGGAUGAGGCCACCCAAAAAUAUCUCAUCCUGAAACACCCUUGCUAUAUUCACUCCUAAACAAGAAACUAGUUGUCUCAGACCUCAAGGCUUCUCUCCCUAUAGUUGGAAAAACCAGUGCCAUUUGCAAAAACCUCGUGAAGCACAGAACUAGCCUUUGUAAGACAUCACCAAAUAUUACCAACCUUUAGAAGCCAUCAAAGCCUUAGAGUCACGGGGAUAAGAAGAACCCCAUGCUCAUUUUUGUAGUCCAUUUCUUUGACCUGGGGCAGUGUCUACAAUUACUACUGGAGACGUUGCCCCCAGCGUGUUCCCAGUUACUAGCCUAAGUGCUUGACUGGUAUUGCCAAACCAUCAUGUCCACCUAGUCAUGACUGUCUAACUCCUUCCUGGCUUGUAGUGAAGUUUGUGGCUCCUAGAUCAGAUUUUCAAUCGUUGUUUCAUCCUAUUUCUGUUGUUUAACAUUAACUUCUGUUUACUCAUCAGGGGAUGGAUGUCAGGAUUCCCAUGCAUUCUGGAACACUCAUUAGCACUGUGGACUGAAUAAAUAACUAGCAGAUUCAUUACAGCAGUGCUCCUGAAAGCAUACCACCCAACCACCAGCAAGCAUCAUCAGUAUCACCCUGGAACUGUUAGAAAUGCAGCCCUGAUCCCAGAUCUACUGAUUCACAGACUUGGAGGAGGGGCCAACAAGCCUUCCAGAUGAUUCUGAUGCACACUAAAAAUCAUUUUCACUUUAGGAAAACUUUGGAAAUACGCGGGCCUCUCACUGCUGUGGCCUCUCCUGUUGCGGAGCACAGGCUCCGGACGCGCAGGCUCAGCGGCCAUGGCUCACGGGCCCAGCUGCUCCGCGACAUGUGGGAUCUUCCCGGACCGGGGCACGAACCCGUGUCCCCUGCAUCAUCAGGCAGACUCAACCACUGCGCCACCAGGGAAGCCCAAUUACCGAUAUUUUUAAAUGGGGAGAUUUCCAUAUAGAUUUGUAUUUCUGGCUCCUAAAGGAGAAUGUCAAGGUUUGGAAACACUUUCAUAUUCCCACUGGCUAACAAACAGCCCAAGUUUGAGAGCAGCUCACCAUUUCAGAUGAGUGGGACAUGCAGAUGCCACUGGCUGGCUUCACCCAUUUCCAUCACCC
This is an RNA transcript of Mesoplodon densirostris (Blainville's beaked whale), 4321 nucleotides long. It is a transcript of the gene named biorientation of chromosomes in cell division 1, with no coding region annotated. The record is from RefSeq and is a predicted model, not a curated record. Lineage: Eukaryota; Metazoa; Chordata; Mammalia; Artiodactyla; Ziphiidae. The transcript is spliced from 7 exons.